Molecule: transfer RNA, 75 nt
Filed under: Aeromonas phage phiWae14
Description: tRNA-Glu
Rfam family: tRNA
About the family: Transfer RNA (tRNA) molecules are approximately 80 nucleotides in length. Their secondary structure includes four short double-helical elements and three loops (D, anti-codon, and T loops). Further hydrogen bonds mediate the characteristic L-shaped molecular structure. tRNAs have two regions of fundamental functional importance: the anti-codon, which is responsible for specific mRNA codon recognition, and the 3' end, to which the tRNAs corresponding amino acid is attached (by aminoacyl-tRNA synthetases). tRNAs cope with the degeneracy of the genetic code in two manners: having more than one tRNA (with a specific anti-codon) for a particular amino acid; and 'wobble' base-pairing, i.e. permitting non-standard base-pairing at the 3rd anti-codon position.
Source: RNAcentral
UCUCCGUUCAUCUAACGGCUAGGAUAUCGCCCUUUCACGGCGAGUACACGGGUUCGAAUCCCGUACGGAGAACCA